Molecule: ribosomal RNA, 286 nt
Filed under: Escherichia coli
Lineage: Bacteria; Pseudomonadati; Pseudomonadota; Gammaproteobacteria; Enterobacterales; Enterobacteriaceae
Description: partial 23S ribosomal RNA
Rfam family: Bacterial large subunit ribosomal RNA
Source: RNAcentral
UGAGGGGGGCUGCUCCUAGUACGAGAGGACCGGAGUGGACGCAUCACUGGUGUUCGGGUUGUCAUGCCAAUGGCACUGCCCGGUAGCUAAAUGCGGAAGAGAUAAGUGCUGAAAGCAUCUAAGGACGAAACUUGCCCCGAGAUGAGUUCUCCCUGACUCCUUGAGAGUCCUGAAGGAACGUUGAAGACGACGACGUUGAUAGGCCGGGUGUGUAAGCGCAGCGAUGCGUUGAGCUAACCGGUACUAAUGAACCGUGAGGCUUAACCUUACAACGCCGAAGGUGUUU